Molecule: ribosomal RNA, 468 nt
Filed under: uncultured bacterium
Lineage: Bacteria
Description: partial 16S ribosomal RNA
Rfam family: Bacterial small subunit ribosomal RNA
Source: RNAcentral
GACGAACGCUGGCGGCGUGCUUAACACAUGCAAGUCGAACGGAAAGGCCCUGCUUUUGUGGGGUGCUCGAGUGGCGAACGGGUGAGUAACACGUGAGUAACCUGCCCUUGACUUUGGGAUAACUCCAGGAAACUGGGGCUAAUACCGGAUAGGAGCUCCUGCUGCAUGGUGGGGGUUGGAAAGUUUCGGCGGUUUGGGAUGGACUGGAAGCUUAUCAGCUUGUUGGGGGGGUAGUGGCUUACCAAGGCUUUGACGGGUAGCCGGCCUGAGAGGGUGACCGGCCACAUUGGGACUGCGAUACGGCCCAGACUCCUACGGGAGGCAGCAGUGGGGAAUAUUGCACAAUGGGCGGAAGCCUGAUGCAGCAACGCCGCGUGCGGGAUGACGGCCUUCGGGUUGUAAACCGCUUUCGCAUGUGACGAAGCGUGAGUGACGGUAAUGGGUAAAGAAGCACCGGCUAACUACGUG